This 253-nucleotide ribosomal RNA is filed under the name uncultured bacterium. Its description in RNAcentral is "partial 16S ribosomal RNA". It matches the Rfam family "Bacterial small subunit ribosomal RNA", at positions 524 to 776 of the family's 1533-position model. The record is from RNAcentral.
UACGGGGGGGGCAAGCGUUGUUCGGAAUUACUGGGCGUAAAGGGCUCGUAGGCGGCCAACUAAGUCAGACGUGAAAUCCCUCGGCUUAUCCGGGGAACUGCGUCUGAUACUGGAUGGCUUGAAUCCGGGAGAGGGAUGCGGAAUUCCAGGUGUAGCGGUGAAAUGCGUAGAUAUCUGGAGGAACACCGGUGGCGAAGGCGGCAUCCUGGACCGGCAUUGACGCUGAGGCGCGAAAGCCAGGGGAGCAAACGGG